Aplysia californica (California sea hare) is the source of this 490-nucleotide long non-coding RNA. RefSeq lists it as uncharacterized. The record is from RefSeq and is a predicted model, not a curated record. The transcript is spliced from 3 exons. Lineage: Eukaryota; Metazoa; Mollusca; Gastropoda; Aplysiida; Aplysiidae.
AGAAUCCUUUUUUUUCAGAAUAUUUAGAAAAUUAUCAUUUUUUAAACAUGGAACAUUGCAUCUAGAAAUACAACGUGCAUACAAUAUUUUUGUAAAGGGAUGCUCAUUGUUUCAUUUCAUGUGUUAACGAGUGAUUUGGAUUUCUUGUGCAGGAAAAGAAAGGAGUUGCCGCGAGCAGUUUCCAUAUAAUUGGCCACAGCCUUGGUGCACACACAGCAGGCUAUGCUGGGGAGAAAACACCAGGACUAGCCAGGAUCACAGGACUUGACCCGGCUGGACCGUACUUCGAUGGCACCCAAACUGCUGUGCGCCUUGACCCUACAGAUGCUACGUUUGUUGAUGCCAUCCACACAGAUGGGAAACUUCUUGGCCUGGGCAUACGUCAGCCAGUUGGUCACAUGGAUUUCUUUGCCAACAUGGGCCACGACCAGAAUGGAUGUCGCGCUCACACUGGGAUUGACCUCAUAAAUCUGGGAGUUGGAGAUAGUAA